GAUGAACGCUGGCGGCGUGCCUAAUACAUGCAAGUCGAGCGAACAGAUGAGGAGCUUGCUCCUCUGACGUUAGCGGCGGACGGGUGAGUAACACGUGGAUAACCUACCUAUAAGACUGGGAUAACUUCGGGAAACCGGACCUAAUACCGGAUAAUAUAUUGAACCGCAUGGUUCAAUAGUGAAAGACGGUUUUGCUGUCACUUAUAGAUGGAUCCGCGCCGCAUUAGCUAGUUGGUAAGGUAACGGCUUACCAAGGCAACGAUGCGUAGCCGACCUGAGAGGGUGAUCGGCCACACUGGAACUGAGACACGGUCCAGACUCCUACGGGAGGCAGCAGUAGGGAAUCUUCCGCAAUGGGCGAAAGCUUGACGGAGCAACGCCGCGUGAGUGAUGAAGGUCUUCGGAUCGUAAAACUCUGUUAUUAGGGAAGAACAAAUGUGUAAGUAACUAUGCACGUCUUGACGGUACCUAAUCAGAAAGCCACGGCUAACUACGUG
This 497-nucleotide ribosomal RNA is filed under the name uncultured bacterium. RNAcentral describes it as "partial 16S ribosomal RNA". It matches the Rfam family "Bacterial small subunit ribosomal RNA", at positions 28 to 507 of the family's 1533-position model. The record is from RNAcentral.